This 440-nucleotide ribosomal RNA is filed under the name uncultured bacterium. RNAcentral describes it as "partial 16S ribosomal RNA". It matches the Rfam family "Bacterial small subunit ribosomal RNA", at positions 338 to 795 of the family's 1533-position model. The record is from RNAcentral.
CCUACGGGUGGCAGCAGUGGGGAAUAUUGCACAAUGGGGGAAACCCUGAUGCAGCGACGCCGCGUGAGCGAUGAAGUAUUUCGGUUCGUAAAGCUCUAUCAGCAGGGAAGAAAGUGACCGUACCUGACCAACAAGCCCUGGACAACUCCGUGCCAGCAGCCACGGUAAUACGUAGGGGGCAAGCGUUAUCUGGAUUUACUGGGGGUAAAGGGAGCGGAGACGGCAUGGCAAGCCAGGGGUGAAAGGCUGGGGCCCAACCCCAGGACUGCAUUUGGAACUGUCAUGCUGGAGUGUCGGAGAGGCAGGCGGAAUUCCUGGUGUAGCGGUGAAAUGCGUAGAUAUUAGGAGGAACACCAGUGGCGAAGGCGGCCUGCUGGACGAUGACUGACGUUGAGGCUCGAAAGCGUGGGGAGCAAACAGGAUUAGAUACCCGAGUAGUC